Molecule: ribosomal RNA, 386 nt
Filed under: uncultured bacterium
Lineage: Bacteria
Description: bacterial SSU rRNA
Rfam family: Bacterial small subunit ribosomal RNA
Source: RNAcentral
CGAACGCAGUAGCAAUACUGAGUGGCAAACGGGUGAGUAUAAUGUGGGAAUCUGCCUUUUGGUUUGGAAUAACACGGGGAAACUUGUGCUAAUACCGAAUAAGCCCUUACGGGGAAAGUUUUAAUGCCGAAAGAUGAGCCCGCACUUGAUUAGCUAGUUGGUAAGGUAAAAGCUUACCAAGGCAACGAUCAAUAGCUGUUCUUAGAGGAAGACCAGCCACAUUGGGACUGAGACACGGCCCAGACUCCUACGGGAGGCAGCAGUGGGGAAUCUUGCACAAUGGGGGAAACCCUGAUGCAGCGAUGCCGCGUGAGUGAAGAAGGCCCUUGGGUUGUAAAACUCUUUCGUCGGGGAAGAAAAUGACUGUACCCGAAUAAGAAGGUCCG